AGGGAAACCGAGUCUUAACUGGGCGUUAAGUUGCAGGGUAUAGACCCGAAACCCGGUGAUCUAGCCAUGGGCAGGUUGAAGGUUGGGUAACACUAACUGGAGGACCGAACCGACUAAUGUUGAAAAAUUAGCGGAUGACUUGUGGCUGGGGGUGAAAGGCCAAUCAAACCGGGAGAUAGCUGGUUCUCCCCGAAAGCUAUUUAGGUAGCGCCUCGUGAACUCAUCUUCGGGGGUAGAGCACUGUUUCGGCUAGGGGGUCAUCCCGACUUACCAACCCGAUGCAAACUACGAAUACCGAAGAAUGUUAUCACGGGAGACACACGGCGGGUGCUAACGUCCGUCGUGAAGAGGGAAACAACCCAGACCGCCAGCUAAGGUCCCAAAGUCACAGUUAAGUGGGAAACGAUGUGGGAAGGCACAGACAGCCAGGAUGUUGGCUUAGAAGCAGCCAUCAUUUAAAGAAAGCGUAAUAGCUCACUGGUCGAGUCGGCCUGCGCGGAAGAUGUAACGGGGCUAAACUGUGCACCGAAGCUGCGGCAGCGACACUAUGUGUUGUUGGGUAGGGGAGCGUUCUGUAAGCCUGCGAAGGUGGCCUGUGAGGGUUGCUGGAGGUAUCAGAAGUGCGAAUGCUGACAUAAGUAACGAUAAUGCGGGUGAAAAGCCCGCACGCCGGAAGACCAAGGGUUCCUGUCCAACGUUAAUCGGGGCAGGGUGAGUCGACCCCUAAGGCGAGGCCGAAAGGCGUAGUCGAUGGGAAACAGGUUAAUAUUCCUGUACUUGGUGUUACUGCGAAGGGGGGACGGAGAAGGCUAUGUUAGCCGGGCGACGGUUGUCCCGGUUUAAGCAUGUAGGCGGAGGGUCCAGGUAAAUCCGGUACCUUUUAACGCUGAGGUGUGAUGACGAGGCACUACGGUGCUGAAGUAACAAAUGCCCUGCUUCCAGGAAAAGCCUCUAAGCAUCAGGUAACAUUAAAUCGUACCCCAAACCGACACAGGUGGUCAGGUAGAGAAUACCAAGGCGCUUGAGAGAACUCGGGUGAAGGAACUAGGCAAAAUGGUGCCGUAACUUCGGGAGAAGGCACGCUGAUAUGUAGGUGAAGCCCCUGCGGGUGGAGCUGAAAUCAGUCGAAGAUACCAGCUGGCUGCAACUGUUUAUUAAAAACACAGCACUGUGCAAACACGAAAGUGGACGUAUACGGUGUGACGCCUGCCCGGUGCCGGAAGGUUAAUUGAUGGGGUUAUCCGUAAGGAGAAGCUCUUGAUCGAAGCCCCGGUAAACGGCGGCCGUAACUAUAACGGUCCUAAGGUAGCGAAAUUCCUUGUCGGGUAAGUUCCGACCUGCACGAAUGG
Molecule: ribosomal RNA, 1349 nt
Filed under: Pseudomonas aeruginosa
Lineage: Bacteria; Pseudomonadati; Pseudomonadota; Gammaproteobacteria; Pseudomonadales; Pseudomonadaceae
Description: partial 23S ribosomal RNA
Rfam family: Bacterial large subunit ribosomal RNA
Source: RNAcentral